GUGGCAAGCGUUAUCCGGAUUUAUUGGGCGUAAAGGGAACGCAGGCGGUCUUUUAAGUCUGAUGUGAAAACCCGGGGCCCAACCCCGGGACCGCACCGGAUACUGCCGGACUCGAGUGCCGGAGGGGCAGGCGGAAUUCCUGGUGUAGCGGUGAAAUGCGCAGAUAUCAGGAGGAACACCGGUGGCGAAGGCGGCCUGCUGGACGGUAACUGACGCUGAGGCUCGAAAGCGUGGGGAGCGAAC
This 243-nucleotide ribosomal RNA is filed under the name uncultured bacterium. RNAcentral's name for it is "partial 16S ribosomal RNA". It matches the Rfam family "Bacterial small subunit ribosomal RNA", at positions 531 to 773 of the family's 1533-position model. The record is from RNAcentral.